This 1308-nucleotide long non-coding RNA is filed under the name Homo sapiens (human). RNAcentral describes it as "HSALNT0150489". The stretch from base 732 to 841 matches the Rfam family "Small nucleolar RNA U13". Lineage: Eukaryota; Metazoa; Chordata; Mammalia; Primates; Hominidae. The record is from RNAcentral.
GGGGGGUAAUGAGGAUGAUUUCAUUACUGUAGGUAAGUACAUUGCCCUUAAAGUAGUGUAGUGUUAUUUGAAAAUAUAUUUGAAUUAGUAGUAAAUUUAUAUUGCAAACUCAAGGGCAGACAUUAAAAAGGUGAGAAAACAGAAGUGUAACUGAUAUGUUAAAAAAAGGAGAGAAGGUCAAGCAUGGUGGCUCAUGCCUGUAGUCCCAGCACUUUCAGAGGCCUAGGUGGGUGGAUUGCUUGAGCCCAGAAGUUCGAGACCAGCUUGGGCAAACCUGGCAAAACCCUGUCUCAACAAAAAAAAAUUUAAAAUUAGCUGAGCAUGAUGGUGCACACUUGUAGUUCCAGUUACUCAGGAGGCUGAGGUGAGAAUAUUGUUUGAACCAGAAGUUCAAGGCUACAGUGAGCCAGAUCAUACCACUGCACUCCAUCCUGGGUGACAGAGCUAGAUCCCGUCUCAAAAAUUAAAAAAAAAAAAAAAUAGAGAAAAAAUAAUCAUAUAAAAUGCUUACUGAAAACCGCAAAAGGCAGAAAGAGUAGAAGACAAAAAUAGGAACAAAAAACAAGGAUAGCAAAUAGCAAACAGUAACAAAUAUAGUAGAUAUUAAUCCAACUAUAUGAAUAAUCACUGGUCUAGAUGCACCAAUCAAAAGAGAAUGCCAGAGUGGAUCAAAAAACAAGAGCCAAGUGUAUGUUGCCCACGAGACACACAGAAUAAAAGUAAAAGAUUUAAUCCUUUUGGGGUUCAUAAGCGUGAUGACUGGGUUUUUGACACUCAUGUGUGAGAUGCACUUCUCUCAAACCUUUUUGCAAUGUUGGCAUACUAUCAUACCUGCUUGAUGUGGAAAAAAAAGUAAAGGAUUUGAGAAAGAUAUACCAUGCUAACACUAAUAAAAAGAAAGGGACAGUAGCCAUAUUAAUUUGAGGCACAGCCAAUUUUAUAACAAGUAAAAUUAUCAGGAAUAAAUGGGGUAUUGCAUAGUAAUAUAGGGGGUUAAUUCUGUAAGAUAAUGUAACAAUCCUUAAUGAAUAUACAUCCAACAACAGAACAUGAAAAUACAUGAGUCAAAAACUGAUAGAUUUCAAAGAGAAAUAGAUUAAUUCGCUAUUACGUUUAGAGACUUCAACAUGACUCUGUUAAAAAUGAAUAGAUCAAGCAGGUAAAGUACUACUAAGGUCGUAGCUGAAUUCAACAACUGGAUGUUAAUCAACUGGAUAUAACUUACAUCUAUAGACUUCUUCAUCCCACAACAGCCAGUUACACAUUUUCCUCAAGUUUACAUGAAACAUUUACCAAGAUAGACCAAAU